ACAGUCACUGACAUUAGAUACCCCGGUAGUCCAGGGUGUAAACGCUGCAGACUUGGUGUUGGGAACCCUUCGGGGGUGCUCAGUGCCGGAGAGAAGUUGUUAAGUCUGCUACUUGGGGAGUACGUCCGCAAGGAUGAAACUUAAAGGAAUUGGCGGGGGAGCACCGCAACGGGAGGAGCGUGCGGUUUAAUUGGAUUCAACGCCGAAAAACUCACCAGCAGCGACUGUUACAUGAAAGUCAGGUUGAUGACCUUACUAGAUUUUCAG
RNAcentral lists this ribosomal RNA (267 nucleotides) under uncultured archaeon. RNAcentral describes it as "partial 16S ribosomal RNA". It matches the Rfam family "Archaeal small subunit ribosomal RNA", at positions 716 to 982 of the family's 1478-position model. The record is from RNAcentral.